GUACCUCAUCAAGAAGAGAUUCUAAAGAAUGUACAGCUCUAAGAACAGUGAGUUGUUGUGAAAUACAAGCUCACAGUUUGAUUAUUUUCUUACAUGUUUUCUUAAUUGUCCUUAAUUGUCAUUUCUACAGACAGAAACUCUGGAAGAGGCACCUGUUAGAUCAUGAAGUAAAAAGAGAAGUAAAGUGCGGAAGAAAUGGUGUAAGGAAAAAAAAUAAACAUCCCAUUUCACUGUGA
This 236-nucleotide long non-coding RNA is filed under the name Anser brachyrhynchus (Pink-footed goose). RNAcentral describes it as "lncRNA (ENSABRG00000001677.1)". The record is from RNAcentral. Lineage: Eukaryota; Metazoa; Chordata; Aves; Anseriformes; Anatidae.